AGUGAACGCUGGCGGUAGGCCUAACACAUGCAAGUCGAACGGCAGCACAGUAAGAGCUUGCUCUUACGGGUGGCGAGUGGCGGACGGGUGAGGAAUACAUCGGAAUCUACUUUUUCGUGGGGGAUAACGUAGGGAAACUUACGCUAAUACCGCAUACGACCUACGGGUGAAAGCAGGGGAUCUUCGGACCUUGCGCGAUUGAAUGAGCCGAUGUCGGAUUAGCUAGUUGGCGGGGUAAAGGCCCACCAAGGCGACGAUCCGUAGCUGGUCUGAGAGGAUGAUCAGCCACACUGGAACUGAGACACGGUCCAGACUCCUACGGGAGGCAGCAGUCGGGAAUAUUGGACAAUGGGCGCAAGCCUGAUCCAGCCAUACCGCGUGUGUGAAGAAGGCCUUCGGGUUGUAAAGCCCUUUUGUUGGGAAAGGAAAGCAGCGGGUUAAUACCCCGCUGUUCUGACGGUACCCAAAGAAUAAGCACCGGCUAACUUCGUG
RNAcentral lists this ribosomal RNA (492 nucleotides) under uncultured bacterium. Its description in RNAcentral is "partial 16S ribosomal RNA". It matches the Rfam family "Bacterial small subunit ribosomal RNA", at positions 29 to 507 of the family's 1533-position model. The record is from RNAcentral.